Molecule: long non-coding RNA, 308 nt
Organism: Zophobas morio
Lineage: Eukaryota; Metazoa; Arthropoda; Insecta; Coleoptera; Tenebrionidae
Exons: 4
Source: RefSeq, a predicted model, not a curated record
UUUUGUUAACUGUUGAGCAAUUUAACUUUUUAAGUAAAUUUAAAGUUAUUAUGGCCACCGCCUUGAAUCCUGUUCCUUUUUUAACCGAGUUAGUAGGUCGCCCAGUUAUUUGUAAGCUUAAAUGGGGUAUGGAAUACAAAGGCCUUUUAAAAUGCUUUGACGCUUACAUGAAUAUUCAACUAGCAGGAGCUGAAGAAUAUGUAGAUGGGGUAAAAGUUGGAAGCCUCGGAAACAUUUUUAUACGUUGUAACAACAUUAUGUAUAUUAGAAAAGUUGUCAGUGAGCAAACCUCAUAAUAUUUUAAUAGU